This 247-nucleotide ribosomal RNA is filed under the name Aspergillus fischeri. Its description in RNAcentral is "partial 28S ribosomal RNA". It matches the Rfam family "Eukaryotic large subunit ribosomal RNA", at positions 1885 to 2142 of the family's 3401-position model. Lineage: Eukaryota; Fungi; Ascomycota; Eurotiomycetes; Eurotiales; Aspergillaceae. The record is from RNAcentral.
UGUUGAUAGAACAAUGUAGAUAAGGGAAGUCGGCAAAAUGGAUCCGUAACUUCGGGAUAAGGAUUGGCUCUAAGGGUCGGGCCCGCUGGGCCUUGGGGGAAACCCCUCGGAGCAGGGGGGCACUAGCCGGGCAACCGGCCGGCGCCCCCCAGCACUGGGGUGGGGACGCCCUUGGCAGGCUUCGGCCGUCCGGCGGGCGCUUAACGACCAACUUAGAACUGGUACGGACAAGGGGAAUCUGACUGUC